This 1275-nucleotide long non-coding RNA is filed under the name Gallus gallus (chicken). RNAcentral describes it as "lncRNA (ENSGALG00010006483.1)". The record is from RNAcentral. Lineage: Eukaryota; Metazoa; Chordata; Aves; Galliformes; Phasianidae.
ACAGAGAUGGGUGCAGUCAUUUGUGUUUUUGCUCCAGGACUGCAGAACAGACGUAAGCCAGAUGUAGCUUGGAAGCUGAACAGUUACAGAAGCAAAGCACUAAACUCAAACCCACAUAUCUGUUGCUCAGCAAAGUUAAUCAACUUUGACUCAGCACUGUAUUAAUGUAUUCAAAGCCUCAUGAAGGCUUGCUAGCUCAGCUGGAAUUCCCCCUCUACAUACCAGAGUUCUCUUUAUAGUACUCAGAUAGUACAGAGAGUCUUACUGUGAGUUUACCUGUAGUUUACAAAAAUUUUAAGGCCUCUUAGAUUAUCAAAGCAGAAUAAGCCCAAAGGUAUCCAUGGUACAGUGAAAUGAAAGUUUGACUAUAAAGCUUGUUAUCACCUUAGGCAAAAGCAGGGAAAUUUUUACUUAUUUUAAUUUAUUGCCAAUUAACAGAAAUUUAUGAUCACUAGUCUAGGUAUUGUAGAAAAAUAAAACAACAUCAAACAUAUAAAAACAAAUGAAGAAAGCAUAAAAAAUAACACAUCAGUACACAUCCUUUCUCCUCCUUCCUCAAGCUCACACCUAUCUUGUCCCCUUCCUAGUCUCAAUUUCCUUUAUUCUUGCUGGGAAAUAAACUCAGUUCACUCUGCUCCUACGGCAAGACAAAGGGUGUCUUAGGAAGUUGGGUUGUGCAGACAACAGCUUCUGCUUGUUUCUCUGUAGCUGUUUUCUUCAUCCACUCAAGAAUCGUUCAAUCUGACAAGCAGGAAAUCAAGUAAAGGUAAUGGGAGACCUGCAUAGGUGAACAAGUAGUACUUGAUAGAACUCCAGCAAAAAAGUGUGCAUACAAGAGGUGGAAGCAGGGAGAACUGGAAACAGUAGCAUAUAAAGAUAUUGCUUGAUUGUGCAAGUAUGGAGUUUGGAAAGCCAAAGCUGGCCUGGAGUUAAAUCCGAUGAGAAAUGUGAAAAACAAUAAGAAAAGGCUAGGGAAAAAUGUGGUGCCUUUGUGACAAAGGAUACAGAAAAGGACAAGGUAUUCAAGAUCUUUGCCUUGUAUAAACAGUCUUCAGUAAUCCAGGCCCAUGAGAUCUGUGGAAGGGUCUACGGCAAGGAAUACUCCCCUUGGAGGAUGAGGAUUGAGCCAUAAACAAAUUGGGUAAAUCCAACUCCAUGAGACCUAAUGGGAUACACUUAUUAAUGCUGAGGGUGCUGGGAGGGUCUCUCGGAGUUGUUCUUGCCCUGGUGUGUUUUACCCACAGCUACAAUUACCUUAUUUGUCAUGAAGUGCCU